CAGACAGUCUAUUAUCUAAUGUAUUAAUCACUGAUAUUCUUAUUUCCGUAUGUAUUUAAAAUAUCAGACUGACAUUUAUUUAGAUAGCUGAGCUGAAAUUAGAAACUCUCUCUAAGAUUACAUGAAAUUAAUUUCAUCCCAUGGCGCUGAUUACACAACAAAGUAACUUAUCACGAAGGAAAGUAAAAGACGUUUGCGAACCUUUAUGAACGAUGAGUAAUGAUGGUUGAUGUAUUAGUAAAUGACCACAAGUCCGAGAACAAGAACGCCGUUGUCAGAAUUAAUUGAGGUUCAAAUGGCGGCGCCGAAACAUCGACACGACUCAGACAAAGGCAAAAUGCAACUGUGGACUGUGACAGUGGAAACAUCAAUAUUGAAAUUGAUAAGAUAAUGUCGCCCGUCGGUUCAAUAACAUGAACAAAUAAACACUAUUCUCCGUUGAACAAGAAAUUUCGACGCACGCCGUUGUCAACUUUUACCCUUUCGCAUAGUUUUAUGUGGGGCAUUAUUGAAUGAAAAAAAUCAAUAUUCGUAUCGAUUUCACAGUGACAAAUACAUUACUGAUCAAUAUUAUAAGACUAUGAUAUUAUGUUUUAAAAAUAUACAUCUGUCAUAAUUUCUAACGAGACCCGUUUCAAUACUAAUCUAUUUAAAACUUUUAAUAUUCCGUGGUAAUCUUGGUUAUAAGUAACUAAAUUACCAUAAAUCGCGAAUAUAUGUAAAUAUACCAGAUGACAGUAUGAUAAACAGAUAUAUAGAAAUAAACAUAGAUUAAAAACAUAUCAGAUUUCAAUUUUCAUGCAGUCAAGCUAAGACACACCAACAACAUAUAACAAUGAGAUAAUUACUUUCACAUGAAAUUAGCAACGUGAUUAAAUAAAAAUGCUAUCUAUACGGUAGUUCACGGUUUCCUCUACAAAUCAAUCAAACGUAGCCACGAUGCAGUAAUGAUAAACAUACCAUAAAUAGAACAUGUGCUCGCUGGCUUACACGUGUAUUUAAUGAAAUAUACUGUUAUUGAGAAUCACUGUUAUGUCAGUGAGUACAUAUUACAACAUAAAAGCAGAUUU
Long non-coding RNA from Plodia interpunctella (Indianmeal moth), 1070 nucleotides. RefSeq lists it as uncharacterized. The record is from RefSeq and is a predicted model, not a curated record. Lineage: Eukaryota; Metazoa; Arthropoda; Insecta; Lepidoptera; Pyralidae. The transcript has 3 exons.